This 595-nucleotide ribosomal RNA is filed under the name Acinetobacter calcoaceticus. RNAcentral's name for it is "bacterial SSU rRNA". It matches the Rfam family "Bacterial small subunit ribosomal RNA", at positions 76 to 666 of the family's 1533-position model. Lineage: Bacteria; Pseudomonadati; Pseudomonadota; Gammaproteobacteria; Moraxellales; Moraxellaceae. The record is from RNAcentral.
UAGCUUGCUACUGAUCUUAGCGGCGGACGGGUGAGUAAUGCUUAGGAAUCUGCCUAUUAGUGGGGGACAACAUUUCGAAAGGAAUGCUAAUACCGCAUACGUCCUACGGGAGAAAGCAGGGGAUCUUCGGACCUUGCGCUAAUAGAUGAGCCUAAGUCGGAUUAGCUAGUUGGUGGGGUAAAGGCCUACCAAGGCGACGAUCUGUAGCGGGUCUGAGAGGAUGAUCCGCCACACUGGGACUGAGACACGGCCCAGACUCCUACGGGAGGCAGCAGUGGGGAAUAUUGGACAAUGGGCGCAAGCCUGAUCCAGCCAUGCCGCGUGUGUGAAGAAGGCCUUAUGGUUGUAAAGCACUUUAAGCGAGGAGGAGGCUACUUUAGUUAAUACCUAGAGAUAGUGGACGUUACUCGCAGAAUAAGCACCGGCUAACUCUGUGCCAGCAGCCGCGGUAAUACAGAGGGUGCAAGCGUUAAUCGGAUUUACUGGGCGUAAAGCGCGCGUAGGCGGCUAAUUAAGUCAAAUGUGAAAUCCCCGAGCUUAACUUGGGAAUUGCAUUCGAUACUGGUUAGCUAGAGUGUGGGAGAGGAUGGUAGAA